UGAUCUGACGAGCUUGCUCUGAUUUGAUUUUAUCUGACAAAGAGUGGCGAACGGGUGAGUAACACGUGGGUAACCUACCUCUUAGCAGGGGAUAACAUUUGGAAACAAGUGCUAAUACCGUAUAAUACCAACAACCGCAUGGUUGUUGGUUGAAAGAUGGUUCUGCUAUCACUAAGAGAUGGACCCGCGGUGCAUUAGCUAGUUGGUAAGGUAACGGCUUACCAAGGCAAUGAUGCAUAGCCGAGUUGAGAGACUGAUCGGCCACAAUGGGACUGAGACACGGCCCAUACUCCUACGGGAGGCAGCAGUAGGGAAUCUUCCACAAUGGGCGCAAGCCUGAUGGAGCAACGCCGCGUGUGUGAUGAAGGGUUUCGGCUCGUAAAACACUGUUAUAAGAGAAGAACGGCACUGAGAGUAACUGUUCAGUGUGUGACGGUAUCUUACCAGAAAGGAACGGCUAAAUACGUGCCAGCAGCCGCGGUAAUACGUAUGUUCCAAGCGUUAUCCGGAUUUAUUGGGCGUAAAGCGAGCGCAGACGGUUAUUUAAGUCUGAAGUGAAAGCCCUCAGCUCAACUGAGGAAUGGCUUUGGAAACUGGAUGACUUGAGUGCAGUAGAGGAAAGUGGAACUCCAUGUGUAGCGGUGAAAUGCGUAGAUAUAUGGAAGAACACCAGUGGCGAAGGCGGCUUUCUGGACUGUAACUGACGUUGAGGCUCGAAAGU
This 721-nucleotide ribosomal RNA is filed under the name Weissella paramesenteroides. RNAcentral describes it as "bacterial SSU rRNA". It matches the Rfam family "Bacterial small subunit ribosomal RNA", at positions 56 to 760 of the family's 1533-position model. The record is from RNAcentral. Lineage: Bacteria; Bacillati; Bacillota; Bacilli; Lactobacillales; Lactobacillaceae.